Molecule: long non-coding RNA, 1384 nt
Organism: Poecile atricapillus (Black-capped chickadee)
Lineage: Eukaryota; Metazoa; Chordata; Aves; Passeriformes; Paridae
Exons: 3
Source: RefSeq, a predicted model, not a curated record
GAAAAACAUGACACCUGCUGCUUAGAGAGCAUCACUGCAUGGAAAGCCAGCCAUCAGGAGGGCACUGACUUCUCCUCAGUGAUUCUGUUUUGUUGAGGCAUUAUCAAGAAGCCAAUGCAGCCCAAAUCAACUGACUUCAUAUGUGUAGUGAAGAAGACCAACUCAAAAAGCUGCCUUAAUGUAUAAGUAACUUAAAUGAAAAUGUACCAUGAGCUCCACUGUACCUUGCCCCAGAAGAGCUAUGACGUACAAGGGUCGUCCAUUGCCCUUAAGAAGAGAAAGAAACUGAGCCAUAAAGCAAAUAGACAUUUUUCUGUGCAUUGGACACUCAGGGAUUGUUCAGAAACUUGUCUGUGUCAAACAGUGCAUGAAAGAAUUUCAGAGUAAAAUGGGCUCAGCACAGUCAAUAGUGUCCUUUGUUCUGAUAGGAGAUUUGUUUGUUCUUUAACUAUCAUGUCCUUUGUGUGAAUAACUGAAAGGAAAAAGUGCAUUUUCUUUCCUCAGUGGGAUUUAGGGUAAUAACCUCAUGAUAUUUUAACAUGAGUCAAACUCCUUUAAAGGACAAUACUGAACACUUUCUCUAUUAAGGAAGAAAGGAUCAGGACAGAAUAUUUUCAAAAUUCCAAUUAAUGUAUCCGUCCAGUUUUUACAAGUCAUUCUACAAGUCUUCUGCAUGGAAAAAAAUCAUCUAAUUCUCCUUUACUAAUGGGUUUUCAAUGGAUUUAGCCCUGCCAGAGCAGACUGAUGAGUAUUAAAGGGAGUAUCAAUAAAAUUCUGUAUGGGUAAAGCCUUGCUGAAAUUGUAACAGCAACUAAAAAGACAGUGUAUAUAUUUGCUUGCUGCCUUUUGGUGAAGGUAUUUGCAUGCUUCCAACUAUGUAGAUACAUCUCUUCUGGACCUAGUUAUGCCAUUAGCAGAUGUUGGAGCCUUCAGCUGUUUGAUACCACCCACCAGCUGGGACUUGAAGCCUUUACAGCCCUGCCAAAGAAACGGUACGUGCGAGCACUCCCUAAUCCACUUUCAGUGAACCAGCCCUGCUAAUACAAAUUACCUUUUCCAACACUGAAAUUAACCCGCAUGACUGUCCACGAGAAGAAUGGAGAAUGGCUGUGUUUCUCACAUGGAAUUCUCCAUCACUACUGUUGUGAGACUGGAAAAGGCAAGAGGUGGGAGGAGACAGUUUAACUGCCUCUGCUGUCUGGAAAAUGAACAGCCUAAAAGAAGUAAGACAGAGAAGCAAGAGAGUGAGAAAAAGGACAGAAAAGAAACAUGAGAUGCACUGAUGGGAAGAGCAGUGAUACGAGCCUGAGGACAAAGGAUGGGGCUUUGGCCAGGUUUUGCUCAAGCUAGCAGGAAGGAAACUGCUCUGUUGGGCCUUUCUGUG